AUUGAACGCUGGCGGCAGGCCUAACACAUGCAAGUCGAACGAGUGGCGGACGGGUGAGUAAUGUCUGGGAAACUGCCCGAUGGAGGGGGAUCACUACUGGAAACGGUAGCUAAUACCGCAUACCAUCGGAUUAGCCCAGAUGGGAUUAGCAGGUUGGUGGGGUAACGGCUCACCUAGGCGACGAUCCCUCGCUGGUCUGAGAGGAUGACCAGCUACACUGGAACUGAGACACGGUCCAGACUCCUACGGGAGGCAGCGGGGGGGAAGAUUGCACAAUGGGCGCAAGCUUGAGGCAGCCAUGCCGCGUGUAUGAAGAAGGCCUUCGGGUUUUAAAGUACUUUCAGCGGGGAGGCGUUACUCGCAGAAGAAGCACCGGCUAACUCCGUGCCAGCAGCCGCGGUAAUUC
RNAcentral lists this ribosomal RNA (406 nucleotides) under uncultured bacterium. RNAcentral's name for it is "partial 16S ribosomal RNA". It matches the Rfam family "Bacterial small subunit ribosomal RNA", at positions 30 to 526 of the family's 1533-position model. The record is from RNAcentral.